This 649-nucleotide ribosomal RNA is filed under the name uncultured fungus. RNAcentral's name for it is "eukaryotic LSU rRNA". It matches the Rfam family "Eukaryotic large subunit ribosomal RNA", at positions 24 to 664 of the family's 3401-position model. The record is from RNAcentral. Lineage: Eukaryota; Fungi.
CCCGCUGAACUUAAGCAUAUCAAUAAGCGGAGGAAAAGAAACUAACAAGGAUUCCCCUAGUAACGGCGAGUGAAGCGGGAGAAGCUCAAAUUUAAAAUCUGGCGCUUUCAGCGUCCGAGUUGUAGUCUCGAGAAGUGUUUUCUGUACUGCCCGCUUGUAAGUCUGUUGGAAUACAGCGUCACAGUGGUGAGAACCCAGUACGCAACGCGGCGCCAGUGCUUUGUGAUACACUUUCGAAGAGUCGAGUUGUUUGGGAAUGCAGCUCAAAAUGGGUGGUAAAUUCCAUCUAAGGCUAAAUAUUGGUGAGAGACCGAUAGCAAACAAGUACCGUGAGGGAAAGAUGAAAAGCACUUUGGAAAGAGAGUUAACAGUACGUGAAAUUGUUGAAAGGGAAGCGCUUGAAGUCAGUCGCGUCUGCCGGGACUCAGCCUUGCUUCUGCUUGGUGCAUUUUCCGGUUGACGGGCCAGCAUCGAUUUUGACCGUUGGAAAAAGGUGGAGGGAAUGUGGCACCUUCGGGUGUGUUAUAACCCCCCAUCGUAUACAACGGUUGGGAUCGAGGACCGCAGCACGCCUUAUGGCCGGGGUUCGCCCACGUUCGUGCUUAGGAUGCUGGCGUAAUGGCUUUAAGCGACCCGUCUUGAAACACGG